Non-coding RNA from Pelobates cultripes (western spadefoot toad), 496 nucleotides. The record is from the annotation of a GenBank genome assembly. Lineage: Eukaryota; Metazoa; Chordata; Amphibia; Anura; Pelobatidae.
GUUUUGUUUCUGGUAAUCUCUUUGCAUGUUUUCAGCACAAAAGUGAUUACUUCCUCGGAAAUCUAGAUACUCAGCCUGUGUUUGAACGAACGUGUCCAAUGCAAUGCUCGCCUCGAAGGAAGCUUUCUUGCUAAAGGAUGCCAGUUGUCAUAGUGGAUUAAACGUGCUUUUGAUCACUCUGCAAAAGCUGCUGAUGCACCGAAGACCAGAUUCUUUAACCACAGUGGGGGACACCUCUAUUGUAACUGCUUUGGCCCUCGGAUUCAAAAUGCAGUUUUUUGGUUUGGGUUUUUUUUUUUUUUUGUGUCAAUAGAAAAAGAAAAUGGGCAUACGUUAAAGCUGGUACUCUUGUUUACCCAGCAUUUUUUUUACCCUGUUUGGGUAGCACAAAUUGCACAUCACUUUUAUUUACUGGAGUUUUUUUUUGGUCCAAUCCAAGUUAUAUUUUACCAGUCAUUGCGUAGCUCUAAUGGCUUUCUGGCUGCCUUAAUCAGUG